GGGCUCAUGGUCUAGCGGUCAUGUGCCGCCCCGGCAGCUGACAGACAACGCCCUUACACGGCGUAGAUCGCCGGUUCGAAUCCGGCUGAGCCCA
RNAcentral lists this transfer RNA (94 nucleotides) under Methanomassiliicoccales archaeon. RNAcentral describes it as "tRNA-Val". It matches the Rfam family "tRNA". Rfam says of the family: Transfer RNA (tRNA) molecules are approximately 80 nucleotides in length. Their secondary structure includes four short double-helical elements and three loops (D, anti-codon, and T loops). Further hydrogen bonds mediate the characteristic L-shaped molecular structure. tRNAs have two regions of fundamental functional importance: the anti-codon, which is responsible for specific mRNA codon recognition, and the 3' end, to which the tRNAs corresponding amino acid is attached (by aminoacyl-tRNA synthetases). tRNAs cope with the degeneracy of the genetic code in two manners: having more than one tRNA (with a specific anti-codon) for a particular amino acid; and 'wobble' base-pairing, i.e. permitting non-standard base-pairing at the 3rd anti-codon position. Lineage: Archaea; Methanobacteriati; Thermoplasmatota; Thermoplasmata; Methanomassiliicoccales. The record is from RNAcentral.